GACAGAGGGUGCAAACGUUGUUCGGAAUUACUGGGCGUAAAGCGCGCGUAGGUGGUUUGUUAAGUUGGAUGUGAAAUCCCCGGGCUCAACCUGGGAACUGCAUCCAAAACUGGCAAGCUAGAGUAUGGUAGAGGGUGGUGGAAUUUCCUGUGUAGCGGUGAAAUGCGUAGAUAUAGGAAGGAACACCAGUGGCGAAGGCGACCACCUGGACUGAUAACUGACACUGAGGUGCGAAAGC
This 238-nucleotide ribosomal RNA is filed under the name uncultured bacterium. RNAcentral's name for it is "partial 16S ribosomal RNA". It matches the Rfam family "Bacterial small subunit ribosomal RNA", at positions 524 to 760 of the family's 1533-position model. The record is from RNAcentral.